Molecule: ribosomal RNA, 251 nt
Filed under: uncultured bacterium
Lineage: Bacteria
Description: partial 16S ribosomal RNA
Rfam family: Bacterial small subunit ribosomal RNA
Source: RNAcentral
ACGUAGGUGGCAAGCGUUGUCCGGAAUUACUGGGUGUAAAGGGAGCGCAGGCGGACUGGCAAGUUGGAAGUGAAAUCUAUGGGCUCAACCCAUAAAUUGCUUUCAAAACUGCCGGUCUUGAGUAGUGCAGAGGUAGGCGGAAUUCCCGGUGUAGCGGUGGAAUGCGUAGAUAUCGGGAGGAACACCAGUGGCGAAGGCGGCCUACUGGGCACCAACUGACGCUGAGGCUCGAAAGUAUGGGUAGCAAACAG